Molecule: ribosomal RNA, 492 nt
Filed under: uncultured bacterium
Lineage: Bacteria
Description: partial 16S ribosomal RNA
Rfam family: Bacterial small subunit ribosomal RNA
Source: RNAcentral
AGUGAACGCUGGCGGUAGGCCUAACACAUGCAAGUCGAACGGCAGCACAGUAAGAGCUUGCUCUUACGGGUGGCGAGUGGCGGACGGGUGAGGAAUACAUCGGAAUCUACUUUUUCGUGGGGGAUAACGGAGGGAAACUUACGCUAAUACCGCAUACGACCUACGGGUGAAAGCAGGGGAUCUUCGGACCUUGCGCGAUUGAAUUAGCCGAUGUCGGAUUAGCUAGUUGGCGGGGUAAAGGCCCACCAAGGCGACGAUCCGUAGCUGGUCUGAGAGGAUGAUCAGCCACACUGGAACUGAGACACGGUCCAGACUCCUACGGGAGGCAGCAGUGGGGAAUAUUGGACAAUGGGCGCAAGCCUGAUCCAGCCAUACCGCGUGGGUGAAGAAGGCCUUCGGGUUGUAAAGCCCUUUUGUUGGGAAAGAAAAGCAGCAGGUUAAUACCCCGCUGUUCUGACGGUACCCAAAGAAUAAGCACCGGCUAACUUCGUG